Non-coding RNA from Acanthosepion pharaonis, 90 nucleotides. The record is from the annotation of a GenBank genome assembly. NCBI's taxonomy places the organism in Eukaryota, Metazoa, Mollusca, Cephalopoda, Sepiida, Sepiidae.
UUCACUGAUUCUCAUACAAUCUCCGAAGUUAAGUAAUGUCAUGCCUGGUCAGUACCUAGAUGGGUGACUGUUUGGGAAUACCAGGUGCUA